UAGGCGUAAUAUAAUUUUGAAAUAAAAUACUACUUUUGUUUUUUAAUUUAAUCAUUUAUUGUUUUUCUAAAUUUUAUUGAAAAAGUAUUUGUAAUUUUAUUUUAUCCAUCCAAAAAUCCAUUUUUCUAUAAAGUUUUUUUCUAAAAUAACUAUUUAACAAAAUAAAAUAAUGUUUUAUUAUAUUACAUUAAAUUUCCUGUUACACAUUGUACUCGGACAUUAUAAUAAAUAUAAACAUAAUAUUUAUAUAUAUAUAUUUUCAUAAAAUUUUUUUGCCGACCACGGAUGGUCAAUCACGGUAACAUCCAUUAUUGUGAUGGUUAUUGGUUUAUAACUAAUAAGUCAGAGCAUGUUUUUAUAUCUUAUUUGUGAUUGUAUCUAUACUUUGUAAUAAUAUAUUGUUGUAAUAUUUUCAAUUAACUACGAUGCAUGGGGAAGAAAUGGUGUAAAAUAGUUUCUCUUCAUGUUGGUGGUUCAUAAAGAAAAAGGUAGGUACUAAUACAAAUUUAUUCACUUAUAUCAUAUAUUUAUCAUAUUUUUAUGAAUAAUAACCUAUUCUCAUAAAAUUAUUAAAUGUAAUAUAAACAGAUCCACAGUAGUAUGGUCAAGAAGUUAAUCAAUAAUGUCGCGAACCACUCGUUCAUGAUCUAAAGAUCGUAGAUCGUACGUCUAAAUAUGUAGAUGAUAAGUAUCGACUCCACCUGGUUAAUAUAAUAAUAUAAAUGUUUCUAAUGUUUCUAUAUCAAUUGAUUUAACGUAUAAAAUAAAAAAACUAUCGUUCGAAAAAUGAAAAAAAUCAACGACUGACGUCCUAAAAUAUUUUCAAUCGGAAAUAAAUUGUGAUUGAAAAGACCUUUAGUGCUCACAUAACGCCCUAUACACGCGUACAAAAUUUUCCGUAAAACUUGUAAUGUAAUAAACGCGCAAAGAACUCGCGGAUAAAGAUUGAUCGGCUAUUGAUGACGUUAUAUUAUGGAGUCUGACCGGGCUGCACCUGCGGUCGCUUAUUACUAUUAUUGUGGUUGUCGUCGUCGAAUGAUAAUAGCAUAACAAAUCUGUUACGAGAAAACGCGAACUGUGCAGGCGAAAAGUGUACGAUGGUCGGUGACAAAUUAAAGGCACUUCCAUCUUGGCCACGUCUGUAAUCUUCGAGAUAAUAGAGACGCAUCGGCACGGUUAUAGGUACCAUAGGUAUAAAAUAAUAUUACACAGUUUCGUCGGAGAAAAAAACUGUUUUAGAUUCGGAACUUUGGAAAACCGUUGAAAACUUUUAAAAAUGUUUUAUUUUACAUUUUUUAUACCUCGUCUAAAUGUUAUUUUAUUUAUAUAUUAAUUGUUGGUAGGAAAACGAAGAAUAAAAAUAAGAAGAAAAAGAAGAAGAAGUAGAAGAAGAAGAAUUAUAUUAUUAGUUGGAUUAUAAAAAAGCCCGAUUACAAUAAACAUAUACCUACGUAAAUCAUAUUCUUAUAAAGUUGGUAAGUAUACUUAUAUACGUGAAUACAAUUUAUACCUAUUAGAUUACAUCGAAUUAAUCAAAAUAAAAUAUAUUUUUUUAAUACAGUGAUUUUGAAUAAUUUUAUAGUUUAAUUUUUAAUAAACCUUAUAAACUAUCUAAAUAUUCAAUGUAUUCUCAUGUAUCUGAAGUUGAAAUUUUGACAAAAUUCA
Molecule: long non-coding RNA, 1665 nt
Organism: Aphis gossypii (cotton aphid)
Lineage: Eukaryota; Metazoa; Arthropoda; Insecta; Hemiptera; Aphididae
Exons: 3
Source: RefSeq, a predicted model, not a curated record